RNAcentral lists this ribosomal RNA (253 nucleotides) under uncultured bacterium. RNAcentral's name for it is "partial 16S ribosomal RNA". It matches the Rfam family "Bacterial small subunit ribosomal RNA", at positions 524 to 776 of the family's 1533-position model. The record is from RNAcentral.
UACAGAGGUCUCAAGCGUUGUUCGGAUUCAUUGGGCGUAAAGGGUGCGUAGGCGGCGCGGUAAGUCGGGUGUGAAAUCUCGGAGCUUAACUCCGAAACUGCAUUCGAUACUGCCGUGCUUGAGGACUGGAGAGGAGACUGGAAUUUACGGUGUAGCGGUGAAAUGCGUAGAUAUCGGGAGGAAUACCUAUGGCGAAAGCAGGCUACUGGACCGUCACUGACUCUGAUCUGCGAAAGCUAGGGGAGCAAACAGG